AGGACGAACGCUGGCGGCGUGCUUAACACAUGCAAGUCGAACGAGGUCCAUCCGGUGGCAACACCGGAGAAGACCUAGUGGCGAACGGGUGAGUAACACGUGAGGAACCUGCCCCGGAAGACCGGGAUAACAGCGGGAAACCGCUGCUAAUACCGGAUACCCCCAUCGGAUCACAUGGCCCGAUGAGGAAAUGGAUUCCGCUUCGGGAGGGCCUCGCGGCCUAUCAGCUUGUUGGUGAGGUAACGGCUCACCAAGGCGACGACGGGUAGC
Molecule: ribosomal RNA, 270 nt
Filed under: uncultured bacterium
Lineage: Bacteria
Description: partial small subunit ribosomal RNA
Rfam family: Bacterial small subunit ribosomal RNA
Source: RNAcentral